This 301-nucleotide ribosomal RNA is filed under the name uncultured bacterium. Its description in RNAcentral is "partial 16S ribosomal RNA". It matches the Rfam family "Bacterial small subunit ribosomal RNA", at positions 509 to 807 of the family's 1533-position model. The record is from RNAcentral.
CAGCAGCCGCGGGAAUACAGAGGGUGCAAGCGUUAAUCGGAUUUACUGGGCGUAAAGGGCGCGUAGGUGGUUAUGUAAGUGAGAUGUGAAAUCCCCGGGCUCAACCUGGGAACUGCAUCUUAUACUGCGUAGCUGGAGUGCAGUAGAGGGUAGUGGAAUUUCCGGUGUAGCGGUGAAAUGCGUAGAUAUCGGAAGGAACACCAGUGGCGAAGGCGGCUACCUGGACUGACACUGACACUGAGGCGCGAAAGCGUGGGGAGCAAACAGGAUUAGAUACCCCGGUAGUCCCUGUCUCUUAUAC